CCUACGGAUGGCAGCAGUGGGGAAUAUUGGACAAUGGGCGAAAGCCUGAUCCAGCCAUGCCGCGUGUGUGAAGAAGGCCUUCGGGUUGUAAAGCACUUUCAGUGGGGAAGAAAGCCUUGGGGCUAAUACCCUCGAGGAAGGACAUCACCCACAGAAGAAGCACCGGCUAACUCCGUGCCAGCAGCCGCGGUAAUACGGAGGGUGCGAGCGUUAAUCGGAAUUACUGGGCGUAAAGCGCGCGUAGGCGGUCUGAUAAGCCGGUUGUGAAAGCCCCGGGCUCAACCUGGGAACGGCAUCCGGAACUGUCAGGCUAGAGUGCAGGAGAGGAAGGUAGAAUUCCCGGUGUAGCGGUGAAAUGCGUAGAGAUCGGGAGGAAUACCAGUGGCGAAGGCGGCCUUCUGGACUGACACUGACGCUGAGGUGCGAAAGCGUGGGUAGCAAACAGGAUUAGAUACCCCUGUAGUC
RNAcentral lists this ribosomal RNA (465 nucleotides) under Vreelandella stevensii. RNAcentral describes it as "partial 16S ribosomal RNA". It matches the Rfam family "Bacterial small subunit ribosomal RNA", at positions 338 to 795 of the family's 1533-position model. The record is from RNAcentral. Lineage: Bacteria; Pseudomonadati; Pseudomonadota; Gammaproteobacteria; Oceanospirillales; Halomonadaceae.